UACGGAGGGUGCGAGCGUUAAUCGGAAUAACUGGGCGUAAAGCGCACGCAGGCGGGCUUUCAAGUGGGGUGUGAAAUCCCCGGGCUUAACCUGGGAAUAGCAUUUCAGACUGGCAGUCUAGAGUACUUUAGAGAGGGGUAGAAUUCCACGUGUAGCGGUGAAAUGCGUAGAGAUGUGGAGGAAUACCGAAGGCGAAGGCAGCCCCUUGGGAAUAUACUGACGCUCAUGUGCGAAAGCGUGGGGAGCAAACAGG
RNAcentral lists this ribosomal RNA (253 nucleotides) under uncultured bacterium. Its description in RNAcentral is "partial 16S ribosomal RNA". It matches the Rfam family "Bacterial small subunit ribosomal RNA", at positions 524 to 776 of the family's 1533-position model. The record is from RNAcentral.